UAAAAAGAAACAGUUAGGCCAAUUAAGGUACUGAAGAGAGAAAGAAAAUGGACUUUUUUUAGUUUUGAAAACAAACAAAAAAACGUUGGAAACAGUAUUAUUUGUCAACUCCGGUCUUUUUAUUCUCAUUUGCCUUUUUUUUUCUUUGGAAGAAGCCAUUAAAGCUUAGAAGAACCAAAUCCUUAAACAAAAAUUCAAAAUUCCAAUUUCUUGGAAGAAUAUAAUCUUCUUUUUCUGAUGUUGCUUGAGCUUCUCUUUCAAUAUUAGCAACUUUAAUAAAUGAACUAGUAGUGCCAAAAAAGCUAAGGAUCUAUUUAAUUAGAUUUGUUUUUGUUUCUCGGAAGUGCAGAAGAAAAGCAAAAAAUGGAGAGUUAUUUGAACGAGAACUUUGGAGAUGUGAAGCCAAAGAACUCAUCUGAAGAAGCUUUAGAAAGAUGGAGGAAGCUUUGUUGGAUCGUUAAGAAUCGUAAGCGAAGGUUUCGAUUUACUGCUAAUCUUUCCAAGCGUUUUGAAGCUGAAGCUAUUCGUCGCUCUAAUCAGGAAAAAUUUAGGGUUGCAGUUUUGGUUUCACAAGCUGCUCUUCAAUUUAUCCAUGGCUUAAACUUGUCUAGUGAAUAUGAUGCACCUGAAGAAGUUAAAGCAGCUGGUUUUCAGAUUUGUGCUGAUGAGUUGGGAUCUAUUGUUGAAGGUCAUGAUGUGAAGAAGUUGAAAAUUCAUGGUGGGGUUGAGGAUAUAGCAGCCAAGCUCUCUACUUCAAUUGUUAAUGGUAUUCCUACUUCUGAGCAUUUGGUAAAUGAAAGGAAACGUAUUUAUGGAAUUAAUAAGUUCACGGAAACCCCUCCACGAGGUUUCUGGGUUUUCGUAUGGGAAGCCCUUCAAGAUACAACCCUCAUGAUAUUAGCUGUUUGUGCCCUUGUCUCUCUUGCUGUUGGUAUUACAGUGGAAGGAUGGCCAAAGGGUGCCUAUGAUGGUCUUGGAAUUGUUUUGAGCAUUCUUCUUGUUGUGUUUGUCACUGCCACAAGUGAUUAUAGACAAUCUUUGCAGUUCAGAGAUUUAGACAAGGAGAAGAAAAAAAUAACGGUUCAGGUUACCAGAGAUGGACUGAGGCAGAAAAUAUCAAUAUUUGAUCUACUUCCUGGUGAUAUUGUUCAUCUUGCCAUUGGAGAUCAGGUCCCAGCUGAUGGACUCUUCAUUUCGGGGUUUUCCGUUUUGAUAAAUGAAUCCAGUUUAACGGGAGAGAGUGAACCAGUUAGUGCAAAUGCAAGAAACCCUUUUCUCCUCUCUGGAACCAAAGUGCAGGAUGGGUCAUGCAAGAUGCUUGUGACUACUGUUGGGAUGAGAACUCAAUGGGGGAAACUAAUGGCCACCCUUAGUGAAGGUGGAGAUGAUGAAACCCCAUUGCAGGUUAAACUGAAUGGAGUAGCCACAAUUAUUGGUAAAAUAGGUCUUUUUUUUGCUGUUGUGACAUUUGCUGUUCUAGUACAAGGAUUGUUUAGCCGCAAGCUACAAGAUGGCACACAAUGGAUUUGGUCUGGAGAUGAUGCGAUGGAAAUGUUGGAAUUUUUCGCUAUUGCCGUUACAAUUGUUGUUGUUGCUGUUCCUGAGGGGCUGCCUUUGGCUGUGACAUUAAGCCUUGCUUUUGCCAUGAAGAAGAUGAUGAAUGACAAGGCACUCGUUCGCCAUCUGGCUGCUUGUGAGACAAUGGGAUCCUCUACAAGUAUUUGCAGCGAUAAAACAGGUACGCUGACUACUAACCACAUGACUGUUGUGAAAACAUGCUUUUGUGGGGAAACCAAGGAAGUGAGCACCUCCAACAAGAGUAAUCAUUUUAGAUCUGCAGUUCCUGAAUCUGCUGUGAAAAUUUUAAUUGAGUCCAUAUUUAAUAACACCGGAGGAGAAGUCGUUAAUAACAAAGAAAACAAAAUUGAGAUACUGGGAACACCAACAGAAACUGCUCUUUUAGAAUUCGGGUUAUUGCUUGGUGGGGAUUUCCAAGCAGAACGGAAAGCAUCUAAAAUUGUGAAAGUUGAGCCUUUCAACUCUGCAAAAAAGAGAAUGGGUGUAGUUAUAGAGUUUCCGGAAGGAGGUCUCCGAGUGCAUUGUAAGGGUGCUUCUGAAAUAAUCUUAGCUGCAUGUGACAAAGUAAUAAGCUCAAAUGGUGAUGUUGUUCCCCUGGAUGAACCAACCACCAAUCAUCUAAAGAAUACAAUUGAGCAAUUUGCUAGUGAAGCUCUUCGAACUUUAUGCCUUGCUUACAUGGAUGUAGGAACUGAUUUUUCUGUUGAUAGCUCCCUUCCUCUUCAAGGGUACACUUGUAUAGGCAUUGUCGGCAUCAAAGACCCUGUACGCCCUGGUGUUAAGGAGUCUGUUGCAAUAUGUAAGUCUGCUGGUAUUACUGUCCGAAUGGUCACUGGAGACAAUAUUAACACUGCUAAGGCUAUUGCAAGGGAAAUUGGAAUUUUAACUGAUGAUGGUAUAGCAAUUGAAGGUCCAGUUUUCCGGGAAAAAUCUGAAGAGGAAUUGUAUGAACUUAUUCCUAAAAUACAGGUAAUGGCUCGAUCUUCACCUAUGGAUAAACAUACUCUUGUUAAACACCUACGAACCUCACUUGGAGAAGUAGUUGCUGUGACCGGAGAUGGUACAAAUGAUGCCCCUGCACUUCAUGAAGCUGAUAUUGGGCUUGCAAUGGGCAUUGCUGGGACUGAGGUGGCCAAAGAAAGUGCAGAUGUCAUAAUCCUAGAUGAUAACUUCUCUACAAUAGUAACUGUCGCUAAAUGGGGACGUUCGGUUUAUAUAAAUAUCCAAAAAUUCGUUCAGUUUCAACUUACUGUCAACGUGGUCGCCCUAAUUGUAAACUUUACUUCAGCCUGUUUGACCGGAAAUGCUCCGCUCACUGCUGUUCAACUUUUGUGGGUCAACAUGAUCAUGGAUACGUUAGGGGCACUUGCAUUAGCUACCGAGCCUCCUAACGAUGACUUGAUGAAGAGAUCGCCAGUUGGUAGGAAGGGAAACUUCAUCAGUAAUGUAAUGUGGAGGAAUAUUUUAGGGCAGUCUUUAUAUCAGUUUGUGAUUAUAUGGUUUCUUCAGACCAGAGGAAAGGCUGCUUUUCAUCUCGAUGGCCCGGAUUCCGAUCUGAUACUGAACACUCUUAUUUUCAACUCAUUUGUCUUUUGCCAGGUUUUCAACGAAAUUAGCUCUAGAGAGAUGGAAAAGAUUAAUGUUCUCAAAGGCAUACUGAAAAACCACGUGUUUGUGGCCGUGCUAAGUUGCACUAUCAUAUUCCAAAUUGUGAUCGUUGAGUUCCUCGGUACCUUUGCAAGCACUUCUCCUCUCACAGUACAGCAGUGGUUUGUCAGCGUCUGCCUUGGAUUCCUUGGGAUGCCGAUUGCUGCUGCUUUGAAGUUGAUUCCCGUAGGAUCAAACUGAGACCAAGGCAAUCUAGAUAGCAGUAGAUAGCAUCAAUGGAUCUGAUGGAAGACUUGUUACACAGUCAAGCUGAAAAGCCAAAUAUUUCGGGGGAGGUCGCUUAGACUGCUGCAAGACUAUCGAUCUUUCGUCAAGUAUCGAUGUUUCUAUUCUUACUUCGUUGAUCACAAUAGGCAUGGCUUAAAGUUGACAAUAGGGUUAAAGGUUAAAUUCUGCUACUAGUCCUUCUACUUCGUGAAAAUUGUGGAUUUAGUCAUUGUAAUUUAAUUAGUCAUUUUUACUUGUACUUUUCAAAUUUUAAAAUUUUAGUCCUUGACAAACAAUAAUUGUUAAAUUCAUUCAAUUAAGUUCCGCGACUUCAAAAA
Molecule: RNA transcript, 3791 nt
Organism: Gossypium arboreum
Lineage: Eukaryota; Viridiplantae; Streptophyta; Magnoliopsida; Malvales; Malvaceae
Gene name: calcium-transporting ATPase 1
Exons: 9
Source: RefSeq, a predicted model, not a curated record